AUUUUUUAAUUAUUUUUAAGCAGACUUUUUUUGUUGUACCUUUUGUAUCAGGGUUUAUCUAUUAUAUAUUAAUUAUUAUUAAUUUUCCCGAAAUUAAAAGAGAUAUAUUUAAAUGGAAGUUUACGUGUCAAAGUAAUUUUUAAUUUAAAUAUAGAGGUUAUAUGCUAUUCAAUUUUAAAUAUCUGGUUACCUAAUAAAUUAAUUUAAUUAAGGUUAUUAAAUAAAUGUUGAUGUAUAAUUUUAUUUUACUCAAUUUUAAUAACUAAAAUUAUAGGGGAUAAGCUCUAUUAUUUGUUUUAUAAUUCUUUUAUUUGUGAAAGUUUAGUAGGCUUGACAACAGCCAUCAUUUAUUUCGUUACAGUUAAUCUUUCUUUUUAUUUUAUUUAUUAUGAAUUUAAAUUUUUAUUAGGUUUUUAUAUUUAAUUUUUUAUUUUAAGUAAUA
RNAcentral lists this ribosomal RNA (442 nucleotides) under Merocoris curtatus. RNAcentral describes it as "partial large subunit ribosomal RNA". Lineage: Eukaryota; Metazoa; Arthropoda; Insecta; Hemiptera; Coreidae. The record is from RNAcentral.